CACACCCUGCACCCCAGACACCCCAUGGCCCCCGCCGCCCUCGGACCCGACCCCAGCCCGCAGUCGCGUGAGGCCGGGCACCCCAGACAGCCCAGACUGCGUCAGAGUGAAGUCACGCGCCGGCCCCCCGUGCGCUGCGGGCAGGAGUCCCGCGGCGCCCCCCGCCCGACCCCGCCUGCCGCGGGGCUCACCGCUGAAGAUCAUGGCGGACGAAGCGCCCAUGACCGCGAAGAACGAAGCAUACUCGGGGCUGUUCUUGGUCUCGGACAUGUCUGCGGGCGGGGUGGGGCGGGGGGCGAGCUCAGCGGGCCGCGGCGAGGAGAAAACAGCAGACCAACGAACGGGCGCAGAGGCGAGCAAAGGCGACCUGGCCCCUUCCUGCUUCUCCAUGGCAGUUACAGAAGCCAUAGCCACAAAGCACCAACCACAGUACCAUGCUACACUCAAAAAGAAUAUUCCUGAGUGGAGGAAAGACAGGACACAUCUGCCCCUCUUCUCCUUUCCCUGCUGACUCUGGUCAUGUCCCUUCAGUGACUUCUCUGACAGGGUUAAGAUCUCCUUGUCCAAAUCUGUUUCAAUCCUUAUCCACACCUCCUUGCCCAAAUCUUUUUCCAUUCUCAGCACACUGAGGUGUUACAGUAACUUGCUUAUACAUCCUGUUCUACUAUACUGUGACUUCUGUAUUCAGUGUCACACUAUACCCAGUGUGCCCUGGAAAGGGGGAAACCAGAGAAGAAAAAAGAGAAGCAAGAAAAAUCUGCAAAUUAUUUAGUCCUAGGAUGAAAUUUAAAUUUCAAAGGCUGAAUAACAACAGGGAGCCUUAGUCAACUUGUCCUAGGCAGUGACCUCCCUGGAAGGCCUCUUCACGUGACAGGAAGGCAAGGUGUGCACAGCUUCUACCCUGCAGCAGAGCACAGGAAUUUCUCCUAUGUUAAUGGGGAAUGGCACCCCAGAGUGACUACCAAGUAGCUGAUUACAGGGAACUUGAUAGUGGGCCCUUUGCUGGUGGCACACAAUGGCAGGCACGUGCCAGGUACAACAAGGAUAUAAUCAAGAGGUGUUAGUCACAGCAUACUGGGCCAGCUGGCCUGCCUGCUGGCUAGAAGUUCAAAUGCAAGUCUUAGGCUACAUGUGGGAUCCUGAAUAGGUGAUCCUGAAUAGGUGAUCCUAUAGAUCCUGUGUCCCUUUCCUGGGCAGAACACAUUUCUCUGGUCUAAUCUGGCCUACCCAUAGGAAGGGAGGGGCUGUGCUGGGGCUGGAACAAGACUCAGCUAAUUCAGCAUCUUUAUCUUCUGAGCUCUAAGGGUCUGCCAAAAAAUCAGUCAUGGAAAAAUACUCCCCCAUCAGGACACAUGGAAAAGAACUCAUUCAAAAGUUAGUAGCACAUAAUUUUGACAGGUCUGAGUUCCCAGCAAGGUGCCCGAGUAAGGUAUGCCUUGAAGGCCAGGAGCCUUGAAGGCCAGGAGCCCUAAAGGCCAGGAGCUCAGGUUCUCCACAAACACCUUCAGACCUAAUAAGACAGCAAGACAGCUAGCCAAGAUGGAACUGUGUGAACUUAAUCAUUUUAAUAGGCAUUCAAGAUACACUUCCUGCAUGCCAGGGUCCCAAGUGCUGGAGGACAAAGAGGUGGUACCGGUUCUAGCUCUCAGGGAGCCCAACACAGGGUAUCCAGGUCCCUAUCCAUAAGGAAAGAAGGCUCAGGGAAGGUAUCCUGGAGCCAACACCUGCAUUAUCUGGGUUUUGACAGGUAAGGAGGACUUAGCUCCAGGAAGUGACACAGACAGCAUGGGCAAAGGACAGAGCCACAAAAGACAGAUCUAAUUCAGAGUCGGGAGCUGUUCAGGAGGAAGGCACAAGUCUGUGGGCAUCUUUUGUGGCUUAGGUGAAAAGACAGUUCUAUAAUCGAGUUUACAGGCUUCAAGAAGCCAAAGGGUCUGAAUUUACUGGGCUGCCAAUUAAGGACAGUUCCCUUUCAUGCUGGAAGCAAGGUGGGGACAGCCUAAAAAGACAGGUAAAGAUACCAGGGCAGGAGUUAAUGUCCACAUCUUGAUCCUUCUAAAGGCUACAGGUUUCCAAGAUACAAAGACUAUAAGGAUAUCUUCCAGGAAAGAAACACAGAGGGUGAUUAGGAGAAAAGAGCAAAAUUAUUUAAGAAAAGGCCUAAGGGACAGAAGUGAACUUUUGGUGGGACUGAGAUAAUGAACAACCCUUAGAAGAGUGGACAGGCUUUUACUGUUAAUAGAAUCACCCAUCAGUAAACAAUUUCUGAGAGUGUGUAGCACCCCAUUAAAACUGUGUAACAAUCAGGAAGACACAGUUUCAGAUUAUGGGAAACAGUCCAAGUGGUGUGCUGUAUAUUCUCAGUCACCUCUGAAAAAGUACACCAGGGUGGCUGCAGAAGGGAGGUUACCACUGCUUACACAUGAUCCGUGAACAAAAGCUCUAAGACUGAGCAGCCACACGCCCCAACAUGAGGAACAAAGAUAACUGCUCACAAACUCAUAAGACAUAUGGCCAUCCCAAUGGGGCCCACAUGCCAGAGGCGGGCAGAUAGGGACUCAUUUUGCAAUAUCAGCUUUUCCCUACCCUUCUCAUAUGGCCCUACCAUGUGAGACAGAGUGGGGAAGGGACACCACAUGCUUGGCCUCUGUACCCUUGGUCAUUUUUUUCCAAAGUCCUAUCUGAUACUAAGGCUGCUAUAUCACACAGAAACCAGGGUCCUGGAGGGAAAGCAGCACAACCUGGAGAAUUCUGCAAUAAUGGAUUUCCAGGUCUAAGAAGAUCCCCGCCCCCUGAGUUCUAACUAUAGAAUGUUCUGACAAGAACCCUCAGUCUAGAGCCAAAUGGGGUCUCUUGAGAUGAGUGCUCCCCAAACUGGAGGUUCCCCAAAAGGCAAACAAACACUUGAGAUAGAAAGACCCUUGGAAAGACAACAGAAAUGUGUGUUUGUACCUUUAGUAUCUGACAUCCUAUCUUACACUCUAACAAGCAAAACUGGCUCUCUGACAGAAACAAAAAGCCCACUACCCUACCCCCAUCUGCCAACAAAGCAAUUGGUUACAAAGCAGCCUUAUGUUCCUAAGAACAUAAGAUUGGCAGUUCAUAGGGACAGCCUUUUUUUCUCACUGAGAAGACCCAACUCACUCCCCAACUUUAACACCACACAGGAAUGCCCCCUAAAUGCUCUGUAGCCUCAUGGCUCCAGACCAGUAGAUACCUACCUGCUGCCUGGAUGAUGAUUUUCCAAACUCAAAGUCCUGAGCUUUUCCCAGGCCUGCUCCACUCUGUGUGCAUCAUGGCACUGAACAGCCUGUCAUCCAGUCCUGGAGCGUCCCCAGCAUCCUCUUUUCUCCCUGGCUCUUCCUAUUCCAGCAGCUACUUGUCUCUUAGUUUUGCCCUCCUUUCCAUUCUUUUUUUUUUCAGUUAUCGAUUGACCUUUAUUUUCUUUAUUUAUUUAUAUACUGUGCUCAGAAUAGAACCCAGUGCCUCACACAUACUAGACAUGCACUGUAUCACUUAACUUCAACCCCAGCCCCUCCUUUCCAUUUUUUGUCUCAGGGUGUGCCUCAAAGAUACCUUACCAACCUGUCUUUGUUACCACUGGCUAAGGUUGGGUAAGUCCUUAGAAAACAUAAAUCUCAUCAGGUCACUCACAAGCUAUGCUCCUCUGAUGGCUUCCACUGCUCUCAGGGUAAAAUUAAAAUUCUUGAGCCUGGCACUCAAGGCCUUUCCCAGUAUGCUACCAGCCCAGCUCCCUUCCAUUUUUCCAUCUUCCCCCACAUACUCCCGAGCUACUCAUUACCCUUCUCCCAAUAGCUGAGGGUAGAAACCAUUCCCCUUUCACUUUCUAUGUACUAUCCUAUUGCCCCUCUGGCUGGUAGGUUCUUUCAUUACAUGUUCUAACCAUCCUUCAAAAUGAAGUUCAUGGCCUUCUCUGAGCUCCUAUCCCCCACCACAGUCCAGCUGGAUGUUGGUCCCUUGGGCCCACAGAAAGAUCUACCCACCCCUGUGGGAGUGUCUACCUUUAUUUGCCUGUCUCCUUACUACACAGUGAGCUCAAGGGCAGAGAC
This 4070-nucleotide long non-coding RNA is filed under the name Ictidomys tridecemlineatus (thirteen-lined ground squirrel). Its description in RNAcentral is "lncRNA (ENSSTOG00000029298.1)". Lineage: Eukaryota; Metazoa; Chordata; Mammalia; Rodentia; Sciuridae. The record is from RNAcentral.